GACGAACGCUGGCGGCGUGCUUAACACAUGCAAGUCGAACGGAAAGGCCCUGCUUUUGUGGGGUGCUCGAGUGGCGAACGGGUGAGUAACACGUGAGUAACCUGCCCUUGACUUUGGGAUAACUUCAGGAAACUGGGGCUAAUACCGGAUAGGAGCUCCUGCUGCAUGGUGGGGGUUGGAAAGUUUCGGCGGUUGGGGAUGGACUCGCGGCUUAUCAGCUUGUUGGUGGGGUAGUGGCUUACCAAGGCUGUGACGGGUAGCCGGCCUGAGAGGGUGACCGGCCACAUUGGGACUGAGAUACGGCCCAGACUCCUACGGGAGGCAGCAGUGGGGAAUAUUGCACAAUGGGCGGAAGCCUGAUGCAGCAACGCCGCGUGCAGGAUGACGGCCUUCGGGUUGUAAACCGCUUUCGCCUGUGACGAAGCGUGAGUGACGGUAAUGGGUAAAGAAGCACCGGCUAACUACGUG
Molecule: ribosomal RNA, 468 nt
Filed under: uncultured bacterium
Lineage: Bacteria
Description: partial 16S ribosomal RNA
Rfam family: Bacterial small subunit ribosomal RNA
Source: RNAcentral